UGGAAGCGACUAAGAAAAUCUCAGAAUAUGUUUCUCAACUUAGGAGACUUGGCAAAGGACAUGGUAACCAUCUGUUUUAUAGAGCAACAGAUGUGAAAACAAAGGAGAUCAAAGACAUGUACUUGGCUGCCUAUCUCUCAGUCCUUUUGUGGAAGCGACUAAGAAAAUCUCAGAAGAUGUUUCUCAACUUAGGCGACUUGGCAAAGGACAUGGUAACGACCAAGUAUGUUUACAAGAUUGAUGAGACCAAAGAGUUGAGUGGAGGAUGUGUUCAAAUGGAGGCAAAAGCCUUCGAGACAUCUCCCCUUAGUAUCUAAUUAUAACAAUGAGAGAUGUGUAUAUAUAUGGUUUUCAAGAAAAUUUGAAGUUGUGAUAUUCUAGCUAAUUAACAUGAUGAAUAAAACUUUAGUGAUUAUUCUCAUCAAAUAAUUUAAAUUUGGAAGUACCAAGUUGUUACUCAA
This is a long non-coding RNA of Arabidopsis lyrata subsp. lyrata, 461 nucleotides long. RefSeq lists it as uncharacterized. The record is from RefSeq and is a predicted model, not a curated record. Lineage: Eukaryota; Viridiplantae; Streptophyta; Magnoliopsida; Brassicales; Brassicaceae. The transcript has 2 exons.